CUCCGAUGCUCAGGCCAGCCAGCUAUUCUGUGAUGAGGCUGUGGCUGGUGCACUGUAGGUUGGAGGUGGUUUCAAAACACUUCCUCUGAAUUUCAUUAUGGCUCAGAUUCUUUGUGGAAAAGAAAGGGCAUGAGCACUUGCAGUGUUGCUGCUGUUCUGUGAGGCUGAAUGUGGGUUCACAAUGAUGAUGAUAGCAACAGAUCUUGUUUUUAAAAUACUUCUACACAGUUUCAUGAAGCAGUGAAGGGUUGCUGUACUUGCCAAGCAAUCCAGAAUCACCACCUUCAGGAAAUACUUAUGGCAAAAUGGGCCACAUCAGAUGGCUUCGGAGCUGUUCUCCACCCUCUGAAUGCCAUGCAGAUAAGAGAGGAAAGAAAAAGCACUUCUGUAUCCAGUGCUUAGAAGAACCCUUAGCUGGAGGUCAGGGGUGGAGGUGGGGGGAAUGGUGAGCAAAAGGGCAGUGGUACCAAAUGAUCUCUGAAGGUGGUCCUUGAAAUUACUCAGUGAGAGUGAUUAAGCUUUAGGGAAGAGAGACCUCAGAAGAGUGCUGGUUUCAAAAUCUUUCUUUGCUACCUGCUUGGUUCCUGCUGUCUUUCUGGUGAGAGCUACAUGGUGGCUGCAUACUGAAGUCAGGCUGCCCAAGGGACAAUCAGCAGGGACCAUCCUGUGGAUGAGCAAAAUAUCCCCCAAGAAAGAAGAGGUCUCCCCAGGGGUGUGCUUUGGUUUUAGUGCUCCACCAAGAAUGGGAGAACAUUCCUCUCCUUUGGGGUAGCAUCAGGAAAAUUCAUAGUUAUCCCCUAGUUUGGCUCUUCCUUUCUGGUUUAGAUAUGGAGGUCACAGGUGGUAAUUCCAGCUUGUUGUGCCUUACAGUGCAUUUUGUAGGUAGAUGGAGAGCUUGCCCGAAUAGUUUGAUAGAAUCUUCAUACAAAAUGAGGGCCUGCUCUUCCAUGGGCCAUCCCGACCCAGGAUGCUGUGAGCAGAACUUUCUGAAGCAGGUAAUUAUAUGGCCCCAAGGCUUUCUGCCCAGUGUGGGCAAGUGCUCUUGUGUUUGGUGAAAAGAAGCUUUGGUACGUAGCUGAGCCAAUAUUCAGGCAAGGAGCUCAACUCCAAUGAGACAAGGCUAAAGCCAAGUGAACUGUGGGAAUGUUUUAGUGUACUCAAGUUAUUUCCAUUGAGUGGGAACUGAUUGAUUUGUUUACUUAAAGAAAGUAGAUGUUCAACAUAAAGGUGAACAUUUUAAGAUGCUACCAGUUGGUCUUCCUUAAAAUAUGGUGAACCCAUAGCCUCCACUUGAUGACAGAGGUCUGUGCUAUUGAAGUCUGUACCUCUCAUGCCCUUGUGAAGGGAGAGAGCCUUCAGAGCUCUGGAGAAAGCAGGACUAUGCUUGUGGUGAUGCCUUUGAAGAGGGAAGGGCCACUGAUGCAUGAAGCUCCCUCAGUUUCCCUAGCACAGCAUUUUUCUGGAGCUUAUCUAUGCAAUAAGCCUUUCAGGUGCCUGUUUGCCCUGUGGUAGUAGAAGGACAAAGCAGUUUGCCCCAUUACAAGAAACUCCCUCUGCUCUACCUUAUUCAGGAGCAGUCAGGAAAUCUGUCUCUCUCCCCCACUCCCCCAUAGUGCUUUCCUUUCUCCAAAAGCAGCAUGCCACAUCUUUCUCUUACCCCAGCAAUGAAUCUGGGUUAUUGUUUGCUCAAGGUUAUUGAUGCUACCUGCUCUUUCAGCAGGAAAAGCCUCCACGCACAGCUGGGAGAGAGCCCGCAGAUUUUCCCAAUCUCCAUUUAUGCAGAAGACACUGAGCAGAGUGUAAAAGGGAUGACAGAAGCAUGGCACGAUCCUCCUCCUUCCCUCCCCUUCCUGGCUCUUUGAUUCAAGGAGCAGGGGCUGGUUUGUGAAUGAGGAGCUGAAACUCAUUCAGACUGAACGAGUAACUGAUAAAGGAUGCUUGUUAGCUGAAGCCAACCACAAAAAGGUAGCAGUUCUCAGGAGGGGGCUUAUUUCCCAGUGAUUCAUCGGUGCAUAACAGAUGCAAGGAACUAAUAAAAUAUUACAGACGUGCAGAGCUUUGAUCUUUCUGCUCUUUCUUUCGUUUUCCCAGGGGUGAGGGCUGUUGUUGAAGUGAAUGGAGAGGAAAAGGCUAAUCUGGCAGCAGGGCUUGUGGAGAGGAGGUCAGUAGCCCCAGUCCAGAAGCAUUCUUUGGGGCUUGACAGAGAUUGGCCAUAGUGCAUUUGUGUAGGCUUUGCAGCACUUGCUCUGCUUCCCCUUGCACUGAUGUUAACCUGCUUGCAGGUCUGCUGAAGUAGGGCUGGGGCAUGAAUGAACAUUUUGCUGUUAUAUUUCUUUCUGCAAGCUCAGAACUGUGAGCAUGAAAAAGUAAAAUGCAUUUCUGGGUCAAAAGCUCUUGUCUUCCCAACUUCUGUUUCAGCUGCUGUAACUCCCAGAGACCUAACAGCCUUGAAUCUGGGGCCCUCAACAGCCACCAGCUUGGAAUUUAUUUUUUUUUUACUGUGACUGAUCUUCAGGAUGACUACAUUUAAGUUUUGUCUCUGUGAAUGCAAUGAAGAGAGAAAUUUGUUUCCGUUACAGAGAAAUCACUACAGUACUGGAAGGCCAUGAUGAGGUGUCCCUGGAGCCUUCUCUUCUACAAAUUAAAGAAGCCCAGCUCCCUGAACCUUCUCAUCAGAGAGCUAGUCCCUCCCUCUGAUCAUCUAAUGGCCCUCCUCUGGACCCACUCCAACAAUUCCACAUCUUUACCGUGUUGGGAACUCAAGGCCUGGAUGCAGCACUUCAGAUGGGGCUUCAUGAGGGCAGAGCAAAGAGGGACAAUCCCCUCCUUUGCCCUGCUGGCCACUCCUCUUUUGAUGCAGCCCAAGAUGCAGUUGCCCUUCUGGGCUGCAAGCACCUUGCACUUGGCCUAUUAAACAUCACUAGGUUCUUGUAAG
Gallus gallus (chicken) is the source of this 2935-nucleotide long non-coding RNA. The record is from Ensembl. Lineage: Eukaryota; Metazoa; Chordata; Aves; Galliformes; Phasianidae.